ACCACUUCUCGGUCUUUUGGUUAAGAUCAUGUCUAGUCAUAUGUUCUUAUCAGUUGAAUAUCCUCUAUCCCAGUACAAUAGAAUCAAUGAGAGUUGGAAAUGGGAGAUGGAAUAAGAGCUUGAUCUCUCCAUUUUGUGCAUUUAUAUGGUAUUUCAGUACUUCCAGGAAUGGUGAAGUAGUU
Small nuclear RNA from Suncus etruscus (white-toothed pygmy shrew), 182 nucleotides. RefSeq annotates it as U2 spliceosomal RNA. NCBI's taxonomy places the organism in Eukaryota, Metazoa, Chordata, Mammalia, Eulipotyphla, Soricidae. The transcript has a single exon. The record is from RefSeq and is a predicted model, not a curated record.